UUUCCGUAGGUGAACCUGCGGAAGGAUCAUUGUCACACAUCCUAAUGGAUGCUUGUGCCAACAAGCAGACCCAGCGAACCAUUCUCCUAUCACUUGAGGGGCUGCAUCGCGAGGUGCAGCUGUCGGCGGUCGGGCCCUUGCUUCAGGGGCCGGAGUCCUUGCUGGGUUCACCGUUGCGGGUGAGCACCGGCCGUCCGACGGGGGCCGCUCUUGGGCCUCGCACACGGGAGAGUGCGGGGGCGGCGUUUCCCACUCCAGCUGUCCCAUCCGGGGCAGCUGCGCAACCAACCAAAACACUAUGCAAAAACCGACUGAAGACCGAUCCUUUGCGGGCGCCUUCGGGAGCCCUGCCUCGGAUCAAAAACAAACUAAAGACAACUCUCAACAACGGAUAUCUUGGCUCUC
Molecule: unclassified non-coding RNA, 405 nt
Filed under: plant metagenome
Description: partial contains small subunit ribosomal RNA, internal transcribed spacer 1, and 5.8S ribosomal RNA
Source: RNAcentral